GGGUUGUUAGCUCAGAUGGUAGAGCAGGUGACUCUUAAUCACCGGGUCGGGGUUAGUGAGUUUCCCUUUGACGCA
This 75-nucleotide transfer RNA is filed under the name Actinomycetota bacterium. RNAcentral's name for it is "Actinobacteria bacterium tRNA-Lys". Lineage: Bacteria; Bacillati; Actinomycetota. The record is from RNAcentral.